CCUACGGGAGGCAGCAGUGGGGAAUAUUGGGCAAUGGGCGCAAGCCUGACCCAGCAACGCCGCGUGAAGGAAGAAGGCUUUCGGGUUGUAAACUUCUUUUGACAGGGAAGAGCAGAAGACGGUACCUGUCGAAUAAGCCACGGCUAACUACGUGCCAGCAGCCGCGGUAAUACGGAGGUGGCAAGCGUUGUCCGGAUUUACUGGGGGUAAAGGGCGUGUAGCCGGGCUGACAAGUCAGAUGUGAAAUCCGGGGGCUCAACCCCCGAACUGCAUUUGAAACUGUUGGUCUUGAGUAUCGGAGAGGCAGGCGGAAUUCCUAGUGUAGCGGUGAAAUGCGUAGAUAUUAGGAGGAACACCAGUGGCGAAGGCGGCCUGCUGGACGACAACUGACGGUGAGGCGCGAAAGCGUGGGGAGCAAACAGGAUGAGAUACCCCUGUAGUC
Molecule: ribosomal RNA, 442 nt
Filed under: uncultured bacterium
Lineage: Bacteria
Description: partial 16S ribosomal RNA
Rfam family: Bacterial small subunit ribosomal RNA
Source: RNAcentral